RNAcentral lists this ribosomal RNA (500 nucleotides) under uncultured bacterium. RNAcentral's name for it is "partial 16S ribosomal RNA". It matches the Rfam family "Bacterial small subunit ribosomal RNA", at positions 30 to 523 of the family's 1533-position model. The record is from RNAcentral.
AUUGAACGCUGGCGGCAUGCCUUACACAUGCAAGUCGAACGGCAGCACGGGAGCAAUCCUGGUGGCGAGUGGCGAACGGGUGAGUAAUAUAACGGAACGUGCCCAGUCGUGGGGGAUAACGUAGCGAAAGCUACGCUAAUACCGCCUACGAUCAAUGGAUGAACACGGGGUAUCGCAAGACCUCGCGCGAUUGGAGCGGCCGAUAUAAGAUUAGGUAGUUGGUGAGGUACAGGCUCACCAAGCCGACGAUCUUUAGCUGGUCUGAGAGGACGACCAGCCACACUUGGAUUGAGAAACGGCACAGACUUCUACGGGAGGCACCAGUGGUGAAUUUUGGACAAUGGGCGCAAGCCUGAUCCAGCAAUGCCGCGUGCAGGAUGAAGGCAUUCGGGUUGUAAACUGCUUUUGUACGGAACGAAACGGUGAGCUCUAAUACAGUUUGCUAAUGACGGUACCGUAAGAAUAAGCACCGGCUAACUACGUGCCAGCCGCCGCAGUAA